CGCCAGACUCCUACGGGAGGCAGCAGUGGGGGAUAUUGCACAAUGGGGGAAACCCUGAUGCAGCGACGCCGCGUGGGCGAAGAAGUAUUUCGGUAUGUAGAGCCCUAUCAGCAGGGAAGAAGAAAUGACGGUACCUGAGUAAGAAGCACCGGCUAAAUACGUGCCAGCAGCCGCGGUAAUACGUAUGGUGCAAGCGUUAUCCGGAUUUACUGGGUGUAAAGGGAGCGCAGGCGGCACGGCAAGCCUGAUGUGAAAGCCCGCGGCCCAACCGCGGGACUGCAUUGGGAACUACCGGGCUGGAGUGCCGGAGAGGUAGGCGGAAUUCCUAGUGUAGCGGUGAAAUGCGUAGAUAUUAGGAGGAACACCGGUGGCGAAGGCGGCCUGCUGGACUGCAACUGACGUUGAGGCCCGAAAGCGUGGGGAGCAAACAGGAUUAGAUACCCCGGUACC
Molecule: ribosomal RNA, 450 nt
Filed under: uncultured bacterium
Lineage: Bacteria
Description: bacterial SSU rRNA
Rfam family: Bacterial small subunit ribosomal RNA
Source: RNAcentral